GGGGGCGUACCGGUUUCGACGGAAGUAUUCGCGCUUAGAAGGCAUGCCGGGGGUCCACACCACCCGUAAUCGGAGUGGAACAAUACAACUGCCAACACGCAGUUUGCACUCGCUGCCUAAUUAGGUAGCGCGUCUCCUCCGUUCGGCCCGCAGGGCGGAGGCAGAUGCCAUUUUGGUGGGCUGGCUUGGGACCCGCCGCCUGAGGGUUCCGGGCGAGACUCCUGCGCAAGCGGGAGGAUCAGGCUAGCCGGCGGCUCGUUAUUGCCCGUUCCUUAGGGCCGCCGACGAAGGCGUGAAGCGAACGGGCUAAGCAUGUAGGCUUCUAAGGGCGGCGCUUUUCGGACGGGGGUUCGACUCCCCCCGCCUCCAUUG
This 372-nucleotide transfer-messenger RNA is filed under the name Acidobacteriota bacterium. RNAcentral's name for it is "Acidobacteria bacterium transfer-messenger RNA". It matches the Rfam family "transfer-messenger RNA". Rfam says of the family: Bacterial tmRNA, also known as 10Sa RNA or SsrA, is named for its dual tRNA and mRNA-like properties. Its role is to liberate the mRNA from a stalled ribosome. Lineage: Bacteria; Pseudomonadati; Acidobacteriota. The record is from RNAcentral.